UGUUGAGAAUUACCCUUAAAGGUAAUACUACAGGCUGAAUUACCUCCACGGCCAGGCUGGCUGACUGCUUUGCCUCGUAGCGGGACAGGAUCAUCUUAACUGGGCCCCCUGACCUCAGGAUUCUUUAAAACUAAGAAAAAUGUCCCGUAGACAUGAUUAAGCUUCUCCCUCUGGCUUCUCUUCCAUCCUCCGCUCUCAGCUGCAGACCAAUCGCGAUGAUUACUUCCGCUUUCCUUGAUUUCUGAUAAUUGAAGACAGGUGUUCCUACGCGCCUGCGCAGUUCUGGAGAGCUGAGCUGAUUGUUUAAAAUUCAACUUCUGAAUUUAAAAUGUUAAGAGAAAUACGGCAGGUAAUUACUUGAAUAAGCUGUUUAUAACUUAAACUGGGUAUGCGCUAAUUGGAUUUUUCUUUUCUAAAAGUUUUUUUUAACACGUAUAAAUGGUUUAUUAUCGACGCUAAUGUUAAUGUUAGCAUGACGUUAGCUUGUCCAUCUGUUCAGGUGCUGAGGCUAAUCCAGUUGAUGGGAAAACAAAGGAAACGAUCUAGUUUAAAGAAUACUGGAGCACUUUUGGUGCUUUUAUGGACCGAAAAGGGCUCGUCCCAUCAGAGGAUAAACUGCACUGUUGCAACUGCUGGUUCCUGGUGUUUUGGAAUUGCAAUGCACACCCUUCAAGCUGAUCUGAAAAAGGUCCUGCUUCCCGGAGUGUGGCCUUGUCCUGAGCCCGAUCCCGAGGAGCUGAGCGCCUUCACAGAUCUGUUCGGAUCACUGAAGUUCAUGCUGAAUUUUCAGAUGAAAAAUCCAGGACAUUACUCAUCCAAAUGGCAGGCUCAUGUUAAAGCGUUUCUUCAGAUGUUCGGUUUGACCAAUGCCUGGGAUAAGAAUCCAACUAAAAUUUAAAAUCCAUGGACAGAAAUCACAACAUGACUUUAGCGCUUUCCUCAUAAGUAAAGUUGCUCUUUCAGUCCGACCACCUCUGAUCUUGGACGUCACUUGUUCUGCACAACCAUGGUGCGAUCAGAGAGGAUCGUGGUGUCAGAAAGGACAUCCUGUUGUCGGAGAACGGUUUCCUCUCAGCAUCCCACCCAAAGCCAUGGACCAGGGCCUGUUUGGAGAGCUCAGUGUCCAGAUUGUUACGCUGCUGAGCCCCUGUGUGCUGCAGUACCCCCAUUUGCCUACGGAGCUAUCUCGCAUGCAAAUAUCCUUUUGUCUGGUUUAAUCACAUUCUGUUCUGAUUUCUUUGUAAAGAUGAGUAUCUGAACCAGUGCAUGAAGAAAAGCUCACUUUGUGUUCGGUUACGUGACAAGGGCUUCAACUGUUCUGGUGCAGGAUCAUGACUCAUCCAGCUUCCCUAUUAAUGAGGUGUGCUUGUAGUUACAUCAUCUUAUCCAAAUAUGACAGUGAAACAUAAAGAUGAGUUAUUUUAGACUUGUUCUACCAACUAUGGACAUAAGGGAUCACAAGAUUGUGCUAGACCUCUGCUUGUCCCUGUGUGCUAAAAACUGUCCAGUCGCAGCUUUAAUAGGUUUUCAGUGUCAUGAAGUCAGUUGGACAGGAAGUAGUCACAUCUGUAGCUCUACUUUUCCACAUGGCAUACACAAAACAACAAGCAACUUAAAUUAGAUAUGCAUUUGUUACCACUUUCAAAUGUCCUAAUGAUGUAUAGCACAGAUAAUUCUUAAAUUAGUCUAUUUAAUGGCAACCAGUAAUAUUAAUUGUUGCAUCUCUCCGGCGAUCCCUUCAGGGAAUUUGCCUUAUUUCAGAGAGUUGGUGCUGAUGGUGGUGGGCUCCUGUAGCAGUCUGUAUUACAGCAAAUUUAUUGAAGCACCUGACUAAACACAGUAGGUAUUUCUAUGACAAUCAGCAGGUGGUCAUUUAUCAAUCUUUCUAAAAUACAGUUAUUGUAAUAAAAUAAAAUGUACUUUUUAAUUUGAGGGUUUUAUAGGUCAGGGUACGAUUAAAAAUGAUCUGGUGCGCCACAUGGUUCAGUGGAAGAGCAGUCGUCCCCGGUUCGAUUCUCGGCCCAAAGCCAUUUACUGCAUUUCUUCCUCUUCUCUCCCUUCUCUUCUUCCUAACAGCUACCAAUAAAUAAAGGCCAUUAGAGCCACAAAAUGUAAAAAAAAAAAAGACAGAAUUGUUGUCUUUACCAGACUCUAACUUCACAACUCGUCACACAACAGAUUCCACACUGUCAUUGUUUAGUAAACCAAAACUUGAAUUAGAGCAAUGGGCUCUAAUCCAAGACCUUAUUUGUUCAGUGUUGCCUCAGUUCCUUUAAGGCUUGCAGCCACAGCUACAAAUUCAACAUUUGUAGAUGUGGAAAGGGAGUACUUAGUUUUUCACACACAGCUUUUUUGGGUUUCUCUUUUGUUUAAUACUCAACAAUAAAAGUGUUGUAAUUUGGAGUUUACAUUUCAGAACCUGUUUUUGACCAGAUCGUAUUUUAUUCUGUUCUAUUUUGCUGAAACCCUAGAGUUUAAUGCGACUUUCUUUCUUUUUGUAAAUUAAAUGAAGUGCAUAUAAAACUGAAGCUGGAUAGAAAAUGAAAUAAUAAAGCCAAGAUAUUCUACUUUAGACGGGUUUGUGGUUUUGCUUCGCCUGCACAUCUGCCGUAUUCACUUUCAACUGAGAUGGCAAAAGACUGAAGUGAUACGGUUUUAAAUAGCUGA
Molecule: long non-coding RNA, 2667 nt
Organism: Xiphophorus hellerii (green swordtail)
Lineage: Eukaryota; Metazoa; Chordata; Actinopteri; Cyprinodontiformes; Poeciliidae
Exons: 7
Source: RefSeq, a predicted model, not a curated record